This is a long non-coding RNA of Solanum tuberosum (potato), 198 nucleotides long. RefSeq lists it as uncharacterized. The transcript is spliced from 3 exons. The record is from RefSeq and is a predicted model, not a curated record. Lineage: Eukaryota; Viridiplantae; Streptophyta; Magnoliopsida; Solanales; Solanaceae.
UGUAGUUCUAAUCCAUAUAAAUAAUCUAUUACAUCAAUAUGAGGCAGCGAUUGGAAUAUUAACAUAUGCUCAGCAGCAUUUGGGGGUUCAGUUGAAGGAGUCAUGGUAUGAGAAGUUGCAACUCUGGGACGAUGCUCUUAAAGCAUACACUGCUAAGGUGUCACAAGCUUCGAGUCCACAUCUUUUUUUGGAUGCUAC